ACAUCCAGAGAACUUAGCAGAGAUGCUUUGGUGCCUUCGGGAACUCUGAGACAGGUGCUGCAUGGCUGUCGUCAGCUCGUGUUGUGAAAUGUUGGGUUAAGUCCCGNAACGAGCGCAACCCUUAUCCUUUGUUGCCAGCGGCUCGGCCGGGAACUCAAAGGAGACUGCCGGUGAUAAACCGGAGGAAGGUGGGGAUGACGUCAAGUCAUCAUGGCCCUUACGGCCAGGGCUACACACGUGCUACAAUGGCGCAUACAAAGAGAAGCGACCUCGCGAGAGCAAGCGGACCUCAUAAAGUGCGUCGUAGUCCGGAUUGGAGUCUGCAACUCGACUCCAUGAAGUCGGAAUCGCUAGUAAUCGUAGAUCAGAAUGCUACGGUGAAUACGUUCCCGGGCCUUGUACACACCGCCCGUCACACCAUGGGAGUGGGUUGCAAAAGAAGUAGGUAGCUUAACCUUCGGGAGGGCGCUUACCACUUUGUGAUUCAUGACUGGGGUAAAGUCGUAACAAGGUAGGCGUAGCGAG
Molecule: ribosomal RNA, 525 nt
Filed under: uncultured bacterium
Lineage: Bacteria
Description: bacterial SSU rRNA
Rfam family: Bacterial small subunit ribosomal RNA
Source: RNAcentral